AGCAGACUGUAACAGUGUGAUUAUUUUUAAUUCAAUUCAUUAUAUUUAAUAACAAAAGUACAUUAGAGAUGUUGAUCUUUUUAUAAAAGAAGAAGGAUUUAAUCGACCCGUCUUGUAACACGGACCAAGGAGUCUAAACAUGUAUGCGAGUAAACUGUAGUUUUAAAACUCAUCAUGCAAAAUUAAAGUAAAAUUAUGGUAGGAAUGAUUUCACAAGGAGUCAUGCACUAUCAACCGACUUGGAUGGGGGAAAACCUCUGAAAGGAUUGAGUAAGAGCAUUUAUGUUAGGACCCGAAAGAUGGUGAACUAUGCCUGAGUAGGGCAAAGUCAGAGGAAACUCUGAUGGAGGCUCGAAGGGGUUCUGACGUGCAAAUCGAUCUUCAAACUUGGGUAUAGGGGCG
RNAcentral lists this ribosomal RNA (402 nucleotides) under uncultured eukaryote. Its description in RNAcentral is "eukaryotic LSU rRNA". It matches the Rfam family "Eukaryotic large subunit ribosomal RNA", at positions 537 to 925 of the family's 3401-position model. The record is from RNAcentral.